GUUGAACGCUGGCGGCGUGCCUUAUACAUGCAAGUCGAGCGACCACACGGGUGGCUUGCUCCUCUGACGUUUGCCGCGCACGUGUGUGUUACACCUGAAUAUCUUCUCUAUUAGGCUGUAGUCCCUUCGAGAACCCGUUGCUACUGCCUACUAAUUUCUUAUACAGCCUGGUUCCCUUGUGACAUCCCGUUUUGCUGUUACUUAUUGAUUGAUUCGCUCCUGAUUAGCUAGUUGGUCAGGUAAAGGCUUACCAAGGCGACGAUGAGUAGCCGACCUGAGAGGGUGACCAGACACACUGGGACUGAGACACGGUCCAGACUCCUACGGGAGGCAGCAGUAGGGAAUCUUCGGCAAUGGGCGAAAGCCUGACGGAGCAACGCCGCGUGAGUGAAGAAGGUCUUCGGAUUGUAAAACACUGUUAUUAGGGAAGAAAACAUGGGCAAGAAAACAGGCAGGGGAUGACGGUACCGAAAGAGAAAGCAACGGCUAACUACGUG
This 497-nucleotide ribosomal RNA is filed under the name uncultured bacterium. RNAcentral describes it as "partial 16S ribosomal RNA". It matches the Rfam family "Bacterial small subunit ribosomal RNA", at positions 28 to 507 of the family's 1533-position model. The record is from RNAcentral.